Molecule: long non-coding RNA, 565 nt
Filed under: Nicotiana tabacum (common tobacco)
Lineage: Eukaryota; Viridiplantae; Streptophyta; Magnoliopsida; Solanales; Solanaceae
Description: long non-coding RNA (NTAB_LNC014980)
Source: RNAcentral
GAGUUGAUAAUGGUGGUUCAUGCCACUUAGGUUUCAGGGAUGAAAGGUUUAAACAUGGGCAAUCAUUUCCUAGAGAUGUUAAUGGUAAUUUUUCUGUUGGCAGGCAGAAUUGGAACAUGAAAUUUAUGGAUGCUACCUUUGCUGCUCAAGCAGCGGCUGAGUUUGCAGAAUAUGCAAGCCUAGCUGCCAGAGCUGUUGUAGAACUUUCAAGGCAAUAUUGUGUUGAUGGAAGUAGGUUCAUGCCACUUAGGUUUCAAGGAUGAAAGGUUGGAACAUGGGCAGUCAUUUCCUGGAGAUGGUAAUGGUAAUAUUUCUGUUGGCAGGCAGAAUUGGAACAUGAAAUUUAUGGAAGCUACCUCUGCUACUCAAGCAACGGCUGAGUUUGCAAAAAUUGCAAGCCUAGCUGCCAGAGCUGUUGUAGAACUUUCAAGGCAAUAUUGUGUUGAUGAUAGUGGUUCAUGCCACUUAGGUUUCAAGGAUGAAAGGUUGGAACAUGGGCAAUCAUUUCCUGGAGAUGGUAAUGGUAAUUUUUCUGUUGGCAGGCAGAAUUGGAACAUGAAAUUUA